GACGAACGCUGGCGGCGUGCCUAAUACAUGCAAGUCGAGCGAACCACUUCGGUGGUGAGCGGCGAACGGGUGAGUAACACGUAGGUGAUCUGCCCAUCAGACGGGGACAACGAUUGGAAACGAUCGCUAAUACCGGAUAGGACGAAAGUUUAAAGGUGCUUCUGGCACCGCUGAUGGAUGAGCCUGCGGCGCAUUAGCUAGUUGGUAGGGUAAAGGCCUACCAAGGCGACGAUGCGUAGCCGACCUGAGAGGGUGAACGGCCACACUGGGACUGAGACACGGCCCAGACUCCUACGGGAGGCAGCAGUAGGGAAUCUUCGGCAAUGGGCGAAAGCCUGACCGAGCAACGCCGCGUGAAUGAUGAAGGCCUUCGGUUGUAAAAUUCUGUUAUAAGGGAAGAACGACUUUAGUAGGAAAUGGCUAGAGUGUGACGGUACCUUAUGAGAAAGCCACGGCUAACUACGUG
RNAcentral lists this ribosomal RNA (466 nucleotides) under uncultured bacterium. Its description in RNAcentral is "bacterial SSU rRNA". It matches the Rfam family "Bacterial small subunit ribosomal RNA", at positions 28 to 507 of the family's 1533-position model. The record is from RNAcentral.